This 76-nucleotide transfer RNA is filed under the name Caudoviricetes sp. RNAcentral's name for it is "tRNA-Pro". It matches the Rfam family "tRNA". Rfam says of the family: Transfer RNA (tRNA) molecules are approximately 80 nucleotides in length. Their secondary structure includes four short double-helical elements and three loops (D, anti-codon, and T loops). Further hydrogen bonds mediate the characteristic L-shaped molecular structure. tRNAs have two regions of fundamental functional importance: the anti-codon, which is responsible for specific mRNA codon recognition, and the 3' end, to which the tRNAs corresponding amino acid is attached (by aminoacyl-tRNA synthetases). tRNAs cope with the degeneracy of the genetic code in two manners: having more than one tRNA (with a specific anti-codon) for a particular amino acid; and 'wobble' base-pairing, i.e. permitting non-standard base-pairing at the 3rd anti-codon position. Lineage: Duplodnaviria; Heunggongvirae; Uroviricota; Caudoviricetes. The record is from RNAcentral.
CGGGUAUUGGCGCAGACGGUAGCGCGCCAGAUUUGGGAUCUGGAGGCCGUCAGUUCGAAUCUGACAUAUCCGACCA